GACAACGCUGGCGGCGUGGAUUAGGCAUGCAAGUCGAACGGUAGGAUACCUUCGGGUGUCUGAGAGUGGCGAACGGGUGAGUAACACAUAGGUGAUCUACCCUCAAGAUUGGGACAACCCAGGGAAACUUGGGCUAAUACCGGAUGAAAGCAGCAGUGAUGUUGUUUGAAAGGUGGCGUAAGCUGCCGUUUGGGGAUGAGCCUGCGCUCUAUUAGUUAGUUGGCGGGGUAAAGGCCCACCAAGGCGAUGAUAGAUAGGCGGCCUUAACGGGUGGUCGCCCACACUGGGAUUGAGAUACGGCCCAGACUCCUACGGGAGGCAGCAGUCGAGAAUAGUCUACAAUGGCCGAAAGGCUGAUAGUGCGACGCCGCGUGAACGAAGAAGCCCUUCGGGGUGUAAAGUUCUUUUAUAUGUGAGCAGUGCUUUCUAUGUGAACAGCAUGGGGAGAGAGAUAUUAGCAUAUGAAUAAGCAACGGCUAACUCCGUG
RNAcentral lists this ribosomal RNA (487 nucleotides) under uncultured bacterium. Its description in RNAcentral is "bacterial SSU rRNA". It matches the Rfam family "Bacterial small subunit ribosomal RNA", at positions 32 to 507 of the family's 1533-position model. The record is from RNAcentral.